AGGUUGGGAUGAGCAGCAAUAUUAACACUUCACUCAAUAUUGCACUUGUCCCGGCCUAU
This 59-nucleotide microRNA precursor is filed under the name Callorhinchus milii (elephant shark). RNAcentral's name for it is "Cmi-Mir-92-P1b_pre stem-loop". Lineage: Eukaryota; Metazoa; Chordata; Chondrichthyes; Chimaeriformes; Callorhinchidae. The record is from RNAcentral.